CUUGGAAAGUUUUGUUGGCUUAUAGAAAAUCAACUAAUUCCAAAAAACAAGAAGAAUCUUAUAAAAACUAAAUGGUGAAUUUACUGCAAAGAAGUGAAAAAGAGAUGGAAGAGUAUGAAAGACAGUUGCCAGAAAAGUAUUAAAAGGAUUGGAAAAAAAAGAAGAUGCAGGGAAAGCAAAGAAACCAUACGUUCAUCAUAAUCAACUCAAAUGACAUUCUGUCAAAGUUAACGAACAAAGAGAAUCAGAAUUUAAGUGUUUCCUUGGCUGUAGUUAUAGCCUAGAGUUUCAUCAUGAAAUUUUGGAAUUUCUUAAGGCAACUUCAUGGAAUUUUUGUUUCUUUUUGU
Long non-coding RNA from Argiope bruennichi, 347 nucleotides. RefSeq lists it as uncharacterized. The transcript has 3 exons. NCBI's taxonomy places the organism in Eukaryota, Metazoa, Arthropoda, Arachnida, Araneae, Araneidae. The record is from RefSeq and is a predicted model, not a curated record.